UUCCCCGACAGGGAGAAUAGAGAUUUUACAAUAUCCUUCCCUCAGGAGUGGGGAGGGAAUAGGGAUUUUGCAGUAUCCUUUCCCUUGGGGGGGGGAGGGAAUGGAGAUUUUGCAGUAUCCUUCCCCUGCCAUGUCUACCAAGCCACAGCACACCUACCAAGCUACGCCCACAGAACCAGUAGUAAAAACAUUUGGAUUUCACCACUGCCUCCAAAGUCCCUUCCAACUCUCUUAUUCUAUAAUUCUAAUUGUUGUGUCUGCGCCCCCCGAGCCGGGCCCCCUGACAGAAAGUGACUCGGAAAGGGCCAUCAGGACUUACCUCUGGAGCACCAGCUUCCCUGGCUCAGCUCCAGGAGCCAGAGGCAGGCCAGGUGGAGGAGAUAACGAGGCCUCCAUCCCCUGACUCUUUUCCCCCCCUGGCCACGCCUCCAGACCCGGCUGAUGGCAAUCAGGCCUGGCUGGACGCUAGGUUUCGUAGGCAGGAGAGGCGGGACCAACAGAAGCAGGGGUGGGGCAGGCCUAGGAAGUGCUGAGUCACAGAGCCACACCCCACAGGAUAUAAAAGCAGCAAGGGCUGCUAUACCACUUCGUGGCAAGCAGAUCAACUGCUUAGAGGGAGAGAACUAGAGCUGAAGUACUGUUUGUUCCUGGUUUCCUGGUUGACUCAUCGGCAUCAAGAGAGAUAACAGAGACACUUGGCAGACGCUCGCUAGUUUGCUGCCAGAGCUGAUAGUUGCCGGCUAAUUAAGUCAUUGCUUAUGUCUCCCGGACUGAGGCGAGGGGGACAGAACACUAAUUCUAAAAAAAGCGAGAGGGUUAGGACUAAACAAGAGAGAAACCUAUAUUGAUAGUGGAUUGAAUUUGAAUGCAAAAAUGUGAUUUCUCACCAUGGAUUUUUUUUUCCUUUUUGUUGCCACAUUAAAAAAAAUCAGCAGCAAGUACGGUAGGGAAUUCAGAGUGUAACACAGCUCUGGAUCUGCAGAUCUUUCACCCUUUAUUUACAUUUCCCUCCUUUUUUCUCUCCAUAGGCUUAUUUACUCUUCAUCUGAGUCUAUGAAUCUGGGGAGAACCUACUCAAGUGAUAACGGUUGAUACUUUUAACCACUGCUACAAACAUAUGCUGAAAGUUGUUUUCAGGCUGUACCGCCCACAGAAUCUUCAAAACACAAAGUUCCAGUUGUAUGCAAAAUAUAUUUCCAAUAAUGCUUCUAAUGGAAAGAAGAUCCACUUAAGGACAAAUCUCAAAUCCGCAAUGCAUUCUAAGUGCUUUGAAAUGUCAUAAAUGAUUAAAUAUACAAGAUCUAACAAAGUGUUGAGCUAGCAAAAUGGAAACCAGGUGGCUUCUAAGCAGGUUUGGUCAGGUUAUAGGGCUUUGCCUCCCCACCAGCUUGAGCAUUCACAAAGAAACAUUUCAUCAGAACUUUACCCUUGAGCAUAAUAAUUCCAUUUUAGAGAAAAUGGAUAAUCCUAAACCUUUAAAGUCUGUCUUAUAUACAUAGAUUUUAUGUUGAUUGCCCUGUAUAUUACAAGCUGUCUAUAUCGGCGUAAACCUGUAUUUAAAAAGAGAUUGAGGGAGGGAAAGGAUGUGGAAGAGUUUUCCUGAAGUCUGUGGAAAAGGAUAGGCCUUCAUUUUCCUUUUCCUUUUCCUUUUUAGGCAAACUAAUUACAUGUAAGUGAAUCUGUAUAACAAUAUUACAGUUUAUUAAGACCGAUUGGACAAAUUAUGUUGCCAUAGAUACCCUCAGAGUGUUGAAGAAACUUCUGCUUCUUCUGUUUUUCAGGGUUUAAUAAUUGAUUCAUAAAAUUAUUCCAGUAUGAACCAUGGCUAAGUGGUAAUGUGUUUUUAUUUCCAGAAUUAUAAUGCAAAGGAUUUUUGAAUAUAAACAAUUAAGUUCCCAUAAAUCUUUUUUUAAAAGAAUAUUUCAAACACUUAAAAGCAAAGCCUAUUUAAUAGCAGCAACUGGAUAGCAUAUAUCCCAAAAAUACUGUUAUAACAAAAUACAGUAUAUACCCUUUUUAAUGAAUCGUUUAAAGUUUUGUUUUAAAAAAUAAAUAUCCCAAGAAUACUUGCAGCACAAACUGAAUAAACAAAAUAGAAUUAGAAAGGUAUGCAUUUUUUCAUAAGUUGGGUGAUAACUUAUGUGCCUUUCACUUAAAGAACUGCUGGUCUAACUGGAAGAAUUUUGAUGGAGUUUGAAAGGUGACCUGCUAUUUCAAUGCAUUUUCUUUAAUCAAUCCAGUUUUAAUGCCUUCUGUGGGAUUUAAAAUUGAAACUGGCUCCCAUUAUUUUUCACAGCAAUCUUGUGCAAGUUUAUUUACUGUCUAGAUAUAUCUAAAGGUUCUUCUACUUCAUCUUUGUCAACUUUGAUCUAUCUCAUGGCCAUACUGAAUGCAACUUUAAAUGUAUUUUUACAUUUAAUGGACAGAUAUUUUUCAAAAGCACAAAUACGAUGAACUGUGGAUGGAAACAAUUAGGGAGGUGGCAACAUUCAGAGAAAAAUUGUAUUUUUCAUCUUGCAGCAUUUCUGAAUAAAAUUCUAGCUUUGGAGAUAAUAUUGUCUCCAAACCAAGAAAUUACAAAGAACGAAUGAUGAUGCUUUUUAUUAUUAACUCCUCUCCAAACCAGGGGUGAAAUUCAGCAGACUCUGACAGGUUCGGAAGAACUGGUAGCAGAAAUUUUGAGUAGUUUGGAGAACUGGCAAAUACCACCUCUGGCUGGCCCCAGAGUGGGGUGGGAAUGGAGAUUUUGCAAUAUCCUUAUCCCAGGAGUGGGGAGGGAAUGGGGAUUUUGCAACAUCCUUCCCCUGGAGUGGGGUAGGAAUGGAAAUUUUGCAGUAUCCUUCCCCUGCCACUCCAAGCCACACUCACCAAGCCACACCACGCCCACCAAGCCAUGCCCACAGAACCGGUAAUAAAAAAAAUUUGAAUUCCACCAAAUAAUUAUUGCUCCAAAUAAUUUAUGCUGUUUGCAUUUUAAAAUUCUACAGCUCAAAUUAAAUUUUAUUUCUGGUUUUAGAGAAGCAGAAAAAUGUGAUAUCAAUCUCUCAUCUCAGCUUUAAUUCUCAGAUUAGUUUAGUCAUGGACCUAUUAUGAAACCAGAUCACAGGAUUGCUUGGAACUAUAAUCAAGGCAAACAUGUGGUGUUAAAAUACCACAAAACUAUGUUUAACUCUCCUUCACCAAACACUGUGGCAUUUCACUUAAAAUUCAUGAAUGUCUCUUCCCUGUUAUUUUCAAUUUUCAGAAAACAAUCUAAUACAUAAAAUUGUCCAAAAGUCUGUAUUCCAUUCCCUUUCAGGAUAUUUUUGGAAUUUCAUAACCUUCAAUUAAAUCUGAAAAUUCAACAUGAAAGAGGCUGAAGCAUCAGGGACCAAGUUCCAAACUCAAAUUAAACAGCUAGACAAUUGGACCAAUUAACUGCUAAGGAUUCCUUGUAAGAAAUUGUGUGAUUUUUUUUCAAGAUAUCUUAAGAUUUAACCCUGUUAUCCUCUUUCAUCAUCCCACUGUUACCCAAUUCAUUGUGCAAAUGCUAAUGCAAUCUCAAUACAACUAUGAGGUUAAUGUUAAUUUAAAAGAGGAACAAGGUAAAUGCUGAACACAUAGACGCAUACAAACUGUACAGAAUACGCACUAAAUCCCACAUUUAAUUAACCUCAGUUUAGAUGCCAGGGCUACAUUUUUCAUUCUGACAUCACCUGAAAAUAAUGAAUGCUAUUAAUGAUCUUGGGCAAAAGAUCCAUUCUUCCUGAAGCUAUCUGGAGAGCAUUCAUUUCUGCUUAUGUGUAGUAUUUUCAUCAGUUCACUUCUGCGUCUGCCCCGGAUAUUUAGGAAAACCUUCCUGCAUUUGAAUGCAGAGGAGACAGAAAAGGAACCUGCAGUUGAACUGCCCCUUUGAGUCUCCUUGGGUGCUGUCUCUGCCUCCUGUAUGCUAUAUUCUAUUUUUAUAACUUGUAACCUGGUGUGUCACUCUGGGAGCCCUAUGGUCCUAUACUGUGAUCCUUGACGCACUGUUUUGAAGGACGGGGAGAAGGAAAAGACCAAAAGAACACAUUUUUUCUCUCUCUCUCACCCUCUCUCUCCUUAUACUUUUCCUUCUUUCUUCACCCCAGUCUGAAUUGAUAUUUGGUUUUAACCAAUACCUUUAACAUCAAUAUUCCCUUAAAUAAUAGUUUUAAUGUAUCGUUAUUGAUACAGGAACAGCUAAAUUAAAAACAAUGCAUUAAACUUUAUUUGGAUUCUUUUUGUAGAAGAAACAGGUGAAUUGUGUACAAAAGAAAAAGUAUUAAUAAUUGAUGAUGCCAUUUAUUUUCUAUUUCAGCCAUUUAUUGGCUGUACAAAGCUGAUACUAAAUUAUUGUGAAGUAAUGUACCUCAAAUACAGUUUCAAAACUAACAAGUUGACUGGAAAUCAUCCUUUUUUAUUACCUUCGACAUACUUUAUUCAAAAGUGAAAUAUGAAAUAAGAAGCAUAGCAGACAAUGGACUGGAUCCAACUGAGGUAGAUCAAAGACCUUCUGAUUCAGCAAUGCAUUACUUGAGAAAUAGAGGAUAGCAAUUUUGUUGAUUUCUCCCAACUCAUACUUUACUACAUUACAUACGUUCAGUCUACUCUAGAAUAGAAGGAGUGAUGAUGAUAGUUGUGGGUGAAUGAAUAAAUUGGUUUAAACUCUACUUAAUUUUCAAUGAAAUCUGUCUCAGUGGACAUUCCUCAUGUGGGCCAAAACAUACACUCAGCCAUAACCUGUAACACCUGCUCAGGUCAGAACAUUUGACCAAUUGUUCCAAUAAUUCCUUAGCAUUUUUGUAAUAUUAUUAGUGUGGAAUUUAUCAUUGCAGGUUACAGAUUAAACAUCAGACAACGCAACACAACAUAAAACUUAACACUUAGCAAUUCAAAUAGCCCACCAUACAAAGAUCUUAAUAUUCAUUCUGGAUAUACUCCAUGA
This is a long non-coding RNA of Ahaetulla prasina, 4945 nucleotides long. RefSeq lists it as uncharacterized. The record is from RefSeq and is a predicted model, not a curated record. NCBI's taxonomy places the organism in Eukaryota, Metazoa, Chordata, Lepidosauria, Squamata, Colubridae. The transcript is spliced from 3 exons.